Long non-coding RNA from Haliotis rubra (blacklip abalone), 226 nucleotides. RefSeq lists it as uncharacterized. The record is from RefSeq and is a predicted model, not a curated record. The transcript is spliced from 3 exons. Lineage: Eukaryota; Metazoa; Mollusca; Gastropoda; Lepetellida; Haliotidae.
AACAAGUUCAACAAGAUAUAUGAGGUCAGUAAACACGUUGAUCUGACUGCCGACAGUUUCAUCGGCAGUAUAUGGUCUCCUGGGUAUCCGGGUUUAUAUGGAGGGACAUACCAUCUUACCUGGAGGAUAUAUUCAGGAUCAUUGACAGAAGCCAUUCGUAUGGCUGUUGAAGAAUCACAUCUUCCGUACAACCCUAACUGUAGCAGUGAUUACUUGGAAGUAUAUG